This 253-nucleotide ribosomal RNA is filed under the name uncultured bacterium. RNAcentral describes it as "partial 16S ribosomal RNA". It matches the Rfam family "Bacterial small subunit ribosomal RNA", at positions 524 to 776 of the family's 1533-position model. The record is from RNAcentral.
UACGGAGGGUGCGAGCGUUGUCCGGAAUCACUGGGCGUAAAGGGCGCGUAGGUGGCGCGGAAAGUCAACGGUGAAAGCUUGGGGCUCAACCCCGAGUCGGCCGUCGAUACUUCUGGGCUUGAGCACUGUAGAGGCAGGUGGAAUUCCGGGUGUAGCGGUGGAAUGCGUAGAGAUCUCCAAGAACACCCGUUGCGAAGGCGGCCGACUGGACACAUAUUGACGCUGAGGCUCGAAAGCAUGGGGAGCAAACAGG